CCCGUGCAAGCCUGCCGCCGCCCGCCUACGUCCCUGUCGCCCCCCGCUGCCCGUCUGCGUGGCUGCGUCCCUGCCGUCCGCUGUCGGCCCGUCGCCAUGAGCGGCUGAGCCCCUGAUUCGUCCCUCCCUCGGUAGCUAGGUCGACGAGCCUGCAGCUUGCGUCACCGGCAGCCGCGCCAGUGUGCCCCGACUCCUCGAGCGCCGAGGCUUCGGCGGUCGACAACGGUGCUGCCAGCCCUCCCCUGCAGGCUCCUCCGCAAGCUCCGCUCCCGAGAUGAAAUUUCUGCUUUGGGUGCUCGUCUCUGAACUCGGUACCUUCGAAGUUUACAGUGUUACUAAAUUUCAACACUUGUUCUCAGGAGGGGUCGUGGUGGAACAAACAGAGAGGCAAGAACCCAACCAUGCCAGUUGAUUAGAUUAGUUUUCUAUCACCUCCUUUUGUUUGAAUGCUUGCGGUUUGCCGGGUUAUGCAUGUUUAUUUUUUUUACACUACAAUUUGGUACCAAAUUCACCAAGCUAUUGAUUCGCAGUAUCCUAAAUGCUGAUGCUUGUUGUUGGAGUCCAGGAGUGAGGCGGGUUCUGCGGCGGCGUAGAGGAGCGCGGUGUACGCGCUGAUGCUGCCGUUUGACGGCAGCUUCCGGGCCAGAGCCUCGAGAACGAGCUCCAGUUCCGCUUCAAGAACGGUGAUCCUGAGGUGCAGAGGAUGAAACGAAGCAGUUGAUGCAAUAUUCAUCAACUCAGAGGAUAACGCUUUCAAGCUUCUGAAGAAAUCCAUCAAGAUGCUGUCCAAGAUCAAAGGAACUUUCAGUCAUAUAGAGGACAAGGAGAUCCCUGCAAGCUUGGACUGGUUUGGGUGGUGCACCUGGGAUGCAUUUUACAAAGUUGUUAACCCAAUAGGUAUUAAGGAAGGGUUUCAAAGGUGCCAAAGAGCUUGCUGAAAUCAAGGGAUUUCCAAGAGCAGUGCAUCCUCCCUUUAAUAGAACUAUCAUGUUUCUUUUCCAGAAGUGUCCAUCAUUCCCCUUAUCCUCUUGAAAAGACUACAUGAGCAGACAACACUCGAAUCGCUUCACCGUCCUAUUAAAGGAAUGAUAGACCAGUGAAGUGCACAGGAUCCUUUUGCUUCUGUUUCAUCUGGUGGGAAUAUGACGGCUACUAAAAACGCUGAAAUUGCAGGUAAAUGAGAACGAGGAUUUUAUACGAAGGAAAAGGGAGGAGGUCUCCUUUUCACCAAAUGACAAGGCAUCAGUUGAGAGCUUCCUUCAGGAUGAGAAGAGCAGCAUAAAUGCUUCAUUCACACGAUUUUAUGCAUCCAUAUCAGAAUACCGUCAGCCAAGAGGGAGAAAAACGUUAUAAAAUGCCAAUGGAAUUACAGGGAUCCAUCUGGAACUGGUUAGCUGCCAAAUGAGGGCUGAGGAUACGCAUUUGUAUGCCGAUUAGGUGCUAAAGUCGCCAGUGCAUAACCUGGACCGAUGCAGCUAGAGUUAUUCAGACCGGGCAUUGUGCGCUCAUCAAUUUUGAUGUUCAAUGUAGCUUCCCCUUUGUUAUAGUACAUUAGACACUGGAAUUGAUGUGAACAGUUAAAAGGGAUGAAUGCAAACACUCCCUUGUGCUCGUCAAUUAGGCGGCUUCACUUCGUUAUAGUACAUUAUACCGAAUCUUGUGAUGAUCUUCGACAGUCAAUACAGCGUUAUAUGCAGGAGCCAGAGCUAACGAAUUCAUGCGAA
Long non-coding RNA from Phragmites australis (common reed), 1724 nucleotides. RefSeq lists it as uncharacterized. The transcript is spliced from 8 exons. The record is from RefSeq and is a predicted model, not a curated record. NCBI's taxonomy places the organism in Eukaryota, Viridiplantae, Streptophyta, Magnoliopsida, Poales, Poaceae.